AUGUAGAGAGAAGAAGAGAGAAAGAAAGAGAAGGGCUGCCAUCAGCAGCCCUGCUGCCACCAGCAGCUGCUGCCCUAUGUAGCAAUGAGAGAUGGGAGUUGAGUGAAUGUGAUCCUCCUCCAUGUGUUGUAUUCUUUCUCUAUCUCUAAAUAAAAUGAACCUCUCCCGUGGAUGUAGGCAAUUUGCCGAACCACGUUAAAUAUUGUGUCUCAGUGUGCUUAACCCUCCUAUGAGCAAAGAUCAGUACAUCACCGGUCCCGGAUUCCGCCCAAUCAAAUGGUAUCAGAGCUUUUUGGUUUAAAGUGGUGUUUGAUCUUUGCUCAAAAAUGAAAGUUGUCAAAAUUGUGUUUUGACCAUCCCACCGUGUAGAGGAGGACGAUACGAAGCCACUGGUGAAAACGGCGUCAAAAUCGGACGUCGGACAUGGCCGCACUCUCCAUCACUCUCCGGCAAGGCGUCUACCCACGCGCGCCAACGCGCCCCACGCGUCUUCUUCACCCGGAUGAGUUGACCCGACCCAUGUGAACAGUAGACAUGAACAGUGACGUAUCAUGAACAGUGCCAUGCAAAGGAUGACGUCAUCAUGAUGCAAGGAUGACAUCACAUACACAGUCAGCAAGUCAAUUGACUAGUCAACUAACAUGUCAGCAUAGCGGGACCCACCUGCCAUGUCAUCAGCCGCGAGCCGAGCCAAGCUGAGCCGAGUGGAGCCGAGCUGAGUUGGAGCCGAGCCGAGCCGCGAGCCGAGGGAUAGGAUCCAGUGUAGCUGAUCCUACGUGCAACCGGAUCUGAUAGUGAAUCUGAGCCGUUUAUCAGGCCAGAAUUGUUUUGAUCAAAUCUUAGCCGUCUGAAGUGCGAUUUGGACGAUUCAAGACAUGUUUCCAGCUAAUUUGAUCAUUCCGGAUGCAAUGGUAUGGUCCGAUUGUUGAGAUUCGAGACCAAAAAUGACAAUGGUGAAUUAUGGUGGUCGAUGGAGAUGAAGAAGAAGAAGGUGCACAUGUUUACCCAAUUAUAUGUGCCAAACUAUGAGCCACAAUAGGAGCCCUAGUUUAGAUCAUCGCAUAACGACAAGCGGAGACACCUUAGAGAAGGUGUGAGGGCCAUGAAAGGAGCCCAUUUCAGAACGCUCCAGAAAACGUGUGCUGAAGAAGUAAGAUGACAAUUGCCCACAUAAAUGGCAAAGGGGGUGAUUGUUGGAAUAUUGCCAAUUAUGUGGCUGCCUUGUCAAAGAAGAUGGCUGCCAUGUGAGAGUCAAAGAAGGAGGCUUGUUGGUGGCAACCACCAACCUUGACUUUGGUAGCCACCAUUGUUGAAGAAGAGAAGAAGUUGGCAGCCAUCUUUGUUGAAGAAGAGAUGAGUUUGGCAGCCACCAUUGAUGACAAAGGAGCAAGAAGAGCUGCCAUUGAAGCCUAUAAAUAGACACCAAGAGUGCAUCACAAAGUGUGAGAGUUGUGAGACAUGUAGAGAGAAGAAGAGAGAAAGAAAGAGAAGGGCUGCCAUCAGCAGCCCUGCUGCCUUAAGCAGCUGCUGCCCCAUGUAGCAAUGAGAGAUGGGAGUUGAGUGGAUGUGAUCCUCCUCCAUGUGUUGUAUUCUUUCUCUAUCUCUAAAUAAAAUGAACCUCUCCCGUGGAUGUAGACAAUUUGCCGAACCACGUUAAAUAUUGUGUCUCAGUGUGCUUACCCCUCCGAUGAGCAAUGAUCAGUACAUCACCGGUCCCGGAUUCCGCC
RNAcentral lists this long non-coding RNA (1727 nucleotides) under Populus tremula. Its description in RNAcentral is "long non-coding RNA (PTRE_LNC003447)". The record is from RNAcentral. Lineage: Eukaryota; Viridiplantae; Streptophyta; Magnoliopsida; Malpighiales; Salicaceae.